UACGGAGGAGGCAAGCGUUAUCCGGAAUUAUUGGGCGUAAAGCGUCCGCAGGUGGCACUUCAAGUCUGUCGUCAAAGACUGGGGCUUAACCCCAGGAAGGCGGUGGAAACUGAACUGCUAGAGUGUGGUAGGGGCAGAGGGAAUUCCCGGUGUAGCGGUGAAAUGCGUAGAGAUCGGGAAGAACACCGGUGGCGAAAGCGCUCUGCUGGACCACAACUGACACUCACAGGACGAAAGCUAGGGGAGCGAAUGGG
RNAcentral lists this ribosomal RNA (254 nucleotides) under uncultured bacterium. RNAcentral describes it as "partial 16S ribosomal RNA". It matches the Rfam family "Bacterial small subunit ribosomal RNA", at positions 524 to 776 of the family's 1533-position model. The record is from RNAcentral.